GAAGGAGGCGGAGCCCUGAUACUGAAUGGAGUAUCCUAUCUUUUCUGUCUGACACCAUUGUUGAGGGCUGAGCAUGAUAUAUGUUUUCUAAAGGGAAUUAAACUGGGUUGCUAAACCCCUGGAAAGCCUCACCCCUCUUCUGGGAGAAAAAAAACAAAAAGAUGCAAUAUCUUUUCUCCUAUCUCCCUUAAAGGUAAAAAUUGUGACAGUGGAGAAGAAAGUAAAUGAGAUCCUGAACCGAUUAGAAAAGACCAAAGUCGAGCGGUUCCCAGACCUAGCAGCAGAGAAAGAAUGCAGAGAUCGUGAAGAGAGGAAUGAGAAAAAAGCCCAAAUUCAGGAAAUGAAAAAGAGAGAAAAAGAAGAAAUGAAGAAGAAGAGGGAAAUGGAUGAACUUAGGAGCUAUUCAUCACUAAUGAAAGUUGAAAAUAUGUCUUCAAAUCAGGAUGGCAAUGAUUCAGAUGAAUUCAUGUAAAAGGAGAAAAGGAGAAAAGGACCUUUGAAAGAUGUGAAUGUAGAGACAAUUGCAGACCUUUUGGUUUCAUCUGUGUUCUGAAGUAUAAAAUACAACCAAAAUUCUACCUUCAUCCUACCCAGAAAUUAUUGAUUUUCA
This 610-nucleotide small RNA is filed under the name Pan troglodytes (chimpanzee). RNAcentral's name for it is "retained intron". The record is from RNAcentral. Lineage: Eukaryota; Metazoa; Chordata; Mammalia; Primates; Hominidae.